RNAcentral lists this transfer-messenger RNA (404 nucleotides) under human gut metagenome. It matches the Rfam family "transfer-messenger RNA". Rfam says of the family: Bacterial tmRNA, also known as 10Sa RNA or SsrA, is named for its dual tRNA and mRNA-like properties. Its role is to liberate the mRNA from a stalled ribosome. To accomplish this part of the tmRNA is used as a reading frame that ends in a translation stop signal. The record is from RNAcentral.
GGGGAUGACUGGUUUUGACAGCGUGUAGAAACGGUGGGUAAGCAUGCAGAGCUUUGGUAUGAAAUCUCUUUAAUCGCAAUCAUAUCGACCUAUAAUUGGCGAAAAUAACAAUUACGCUCUCGCUGCGUAAGUCUGAAGUAUAGUAAGACCGCUUUAUCUGCAUCACAGUGAUGCAGACGAGACAUCUCCCCAUUGCCCCGUUCCGAGACGUUUGGAUCAGGAGGUGCAGAGAAAUUCGGAAAUAGGCCGGCAUUCGCCUCGCAUGUCGGUCGAGAUUCAGAGGCUAAGGGCAAGAUUGGUAGUCGUGAGCCUGUCUUGUCUCGAAAACCAAGUCAAUGACUAAGCAUGUAGAAAGCUCAUUGGGUCCGCGUUUGGACGAGGGUUCAAACCCCUCCAUCUCCACU